CCUACGGGAGGCAGCAGUAGGGAAUCUUCCACAAUGGGCGCAAGCCUGAUGGAGCAACACCGCGUGAGUGAAGAAGGGCUUCGGCUCGUAAAGCUCUGUUGUUGGAGAAGAACGUGCGUGAGAGUAACUGUUCAUGCAGUGACGGUAUCCAACCAGAAAGUCACGGCUAACUACGUGCCAGCAGCCGCGGUAAUACGGAGGUGGCAAGCGUUAUUCGGAUUUAUUGGGCGUAAAGCGAGCGCAGGCGGUUGGUUAGGUCUGAGGUGAAAGCCCUCGGCUUAACCGAGGAAGUGCAUCGGAAACUGGUCGACUGGAGUGCGGGAGAGGAAAGUGGAACUCGAGGUGUAGCGGUGGAAUGCGUAGAUAUAUGGAAGAACACCAGUGGCGAAGGCGGCUGUCUGGUCUGCAACUGACGCUGAGGCUCGAAAGCGUGGGUAGCGAACAGGAUUAGAUACCCCAGUAGUC
This 465-nucleotide ribosomal RNA is filed under the name uncultured bacterium. RNAcentral's name for it is "partial 16S ribosomal RNA". It matches the Rfam family "Bacterial small subunit ribosomal RNA", at positions 338 to 795 of the family's 1533-position model. The record is from RNAcentral.